GCAAGACAUUUCUAUGUGUCCACUGUAUUUUUAUUUUGUCAUAUCAUUUCUUACUAUCACUGCCUGAGACUUAAUAGCUUUUUGGGAAUGGGAGAUGCAUUUAUUUUAUUGCAUUAGGAAUAAACAUCUGAGUCAGUGAGUGUAUUUGAAAAUAAUAAGCCUUAAAAAAUACUGUAAAUUAGAUGUGGCUUGUUCAUGUAAAUUGUGAGGCAGAUAUGCAAUUUAUUUAUCAGACUUAUAUUACUAGAUUCAUUUGAUUUUAUUGUAUGGCAGUACAUUUAUCACAAAAAUAUUUUGAUUGAUUCAAAAUUUAUAAUGGGAGAUAACUCAGUUAAUUAUAAGACUUAUUGAAAACUUUGUGGAAAAACAAGUUUUCAUUCUUCUUACAAAAGUGCAUUUAUUUGUGUACAAUAAUUACAAAGAUAUGAUUAUUUUGGACAGCUUAUACUAUCUGAAAACAAGCAUGAAUGCUAUGGUGACCAAAACUUUUUAUUUUAUUGGUUUAAAAUAAUAAUAAAAAUAAAAAUCAUAUAACUUUUAUUUUGGUAAAGCCGCACAAAUUGUAAUCCAUUACAACUUAAUUAAUUUUAAUAAAUUCAUAAGAUAAAAUAUUGAUUUUGAAAUACAACAUGUACUUUGAAUGCAAUACAGAUUUUUUCCUCCAGAAUUUGAUUCUCAAAGAAACUGCCAUCCACAGAUAUAAAAUAAUAGUACCUUGUUAUCUUACUCACUUUAUAUACAGGGUGCACACUUUAUAUUUGUAUCAUCAAUACAAAAGAAAAUUCAGACAUGUUCUAGACAAGGUGCACUCUUUACCGUAAUAGAGUUCUUAACAGACACACCUUUUCAAAGCUAUAAACCCCUGACGUUCUACCUUAUAAAUACCAACUACUAUGAAUUAUGAAACUGUACAAAUUUUGGAAAAUUUAAUUAACCUCUAACAAAAAACAAUUAUCUCUCUCUAGUGAUAAGCUUUGGGUGUUCUUAAACAAUUAAUUGGUUUAUAGUGUGCUGUUUUUCACUUUCCCUAGUGCUUUUCCAUAAUCGUAUUGUUGUUUAAAACAUUUUGUGUCAAUUUUGUUUAUGUCUGAUUUUUUAUGCAAGUUACUAAGUAUAAAAAUAGUUUGAUUCCUCUACUUUUAUUGUAACUGGAAAAAGAAUGGCACAUGUAUGAUAAUUAGGAUCAGGUGCGGAUCCAGCCAUUUAAAAAAGGGGGGGUUCCCAACCCAGAGUAAAGGGGGGUUCCAAACUAUAUGCUCCCAUUCAAUACAUUGAUCGGCCAAAAAAAAUGGGGGGAGUUCAAACGGAACCCCCCCCCCCCUGGAUCCGCCACUGAGGAAAGAGAUUCCUUUUACAUUCAUGCCAUUGAUUAAAUGUAUAAUCCUUAUAAUUUUUUUCAAUUUUGCACAGCUAGUUCUAGCUUGAAACAAGCAUGGUGACCUAUACUUUAAAUGUGUUUCAAAAUGAAAUGUUUUGAGUGACGUUUGUAUUUGUUGUUGUUUGUCAUACUGUUAGUGUAACUGCUUUAUGUGUACAAAUUGUUCACUUUUAAGUAUAAUGUGUACUAGGUAAAUAUAUUUCUGUGGAUUCAACAAUGUAUUAAGGAAACUAUUUUUUGAGACUUUAAGUAUAGGUGACCUAUGGUG
RNAcentral lists this long non-coding RNA (1646 nucleotides) under Mytilus galloprovincialis (Mediterranean mussel). Lineage: Eukaryota; Metazoa; Mollusca; Bivalvia; Mytilida; Mytilidae. The record is from RNAcentral.